Molecule: small nucleolar RNA, 139 nt
Organism: Harmonia axyridis
Lineage: Eukaryota; Metazoa; Arthropoda; Insecta; Coleoptera; Coccinellidae
Source: RefSeq, a predicted model, not a curated record
GUGCGGCCCUAUCGAAGCUGUAUUUCAUUGCUAUAUGCAGUAAUAUGGUCAAAGUGAGGCCUAAAGAAUUUUUUUGUAAUGGUCACUGGCUUACUAUUAUUCUCAUAGUUUUUCAGUAUUACCCAAGCAAAAUACAAUA